AGCCUCUCAGAAUCGCACCUGGAGAGUUUCCAGUAUUCUACCAGUCUUGACUACAGCACGGAGAGUCGAGCAGAGGCCUGUCCAUUCCAUUCCUAGCUUGGCCAGUAGCUAGUGAGUGGAAAGCAAUCUGCUACAAGU
This is a small nucleolar RNA of Ornithorhynchus anatinus (platypus), 138 nucleotides long. NCBI's taxonomy places the organism in Eukaryota, Metazoa, Chordata, Mammalia, Monotremata, Ornithorhynchidae. The record is from RefSeq and is a predicted model, not a curated record.